This 427-nucleotide ribosomal RNA is filed under the name uncultured bacterium. RNAcentral describes it as "partial 16S ribosomal RNA". It matches the Rfam family "Bacterial small subunit ribosomal RNA", at positions 355 to 774 of the family's 1533-position model. The record is from RNAcentral.
UGGGGAAUAUUGCACAAUGGGCGCAAGCCUGAUGCAGCCAUGCCGCGUGUGUGAAGAAGGCCUUCGGGUUGUAAAGCACUUUCAGCGAGGAGGAAGGGUAGUGUGUUAAUAGCACAUUGCAUUGACGUUACUCGCAGAAGAAGCACCGGCUAACUCCGUGCCAGCAGCCGCGAUAAUACGGAGGGUGCAAGCGUUAAUCGGAAUUACUGGGCGUAAAGCGCACGCAGGCGGUUUGUUAAGUCAGAUGUGAAAUCCCCGCGCUUAACGUGGGAACUGCAUUUGAAACUGGCAAGCUAGAGUCUUGUAGAGGGGGGUAGAAUUCCAGGUGUAGCGGUGAAAUGCGUAGAGAUCUGGAGGAAUACCGGUGGCGAAGGCGGCCCCCUGGACAAAGACUGACGCUCAGGUGCGAAAGCGUGGGGAGCAAACA